CAGUGGCGAACGGGUGAGUAACACGUGAGCAACCUGCCCUGAACUCUGGGAUAAGCGCUGGAAACGGCGUCUAAUACUGGAUAUGAGCUGCGGAGGCAUCUUCGUGGUUGGAAAGAUUUUUCGGUUUGGGAUGGGCUCGCGGCCUAUCAGCUUGUUGGUGAGGUAAUGGCUCACCAAGGCGUCGACGGGUAGCCGGCCUGAGAGGGUGACCGGCCACACUGGGACUGAGACACGGCCCAGACUCCUACGGGAGGCAGCAGUGGGGAAUAUUGCACAAUGGGCGGAAGCCUGAUGCAGCAACGCCGCGUGAGGGAUGACGGCCUUCGGGUUGUAAACCUCUUUUAGCAGGGAAGAAGCGAAAGUGACGGUACCUGCAGAAAAAGCGCCGGCUAACUACGUGCCAGCAGCCGCGGUAAUACGUAGGGCGCAAGCGUUAUCCGGAAUUAUUGGGCGUAAAGAGCUCGUAGGCGGUUUGUCGCGUCUGCUGUGAAAACCCGAGGCUCAACCUCGGGCCUGCAGUGGGUACGGGCAGACUAGAGUGCGGUAGGGGAGAUUGGAAUUCCUGGUGUAGCGGUGGAAUGCGCAGAUAUCAGGAGGAACACCGAUGGCGAAGGCAGAUCUCUGGGCCGUAACUGACGCUGAGGAGCGAAAGGGUGGGGAGCAAACAGGCUUAGAUACCCUGGUAGUCCACCCCGUAAACGUUGGGAACUAGUUGUGGGGUCCAUUCCACGGAUUCCGUGACGCAGCUAACGCAUUAAGUUCCCCGCCUGGGGAGUACGGCCGCAAGGCUAAAACUCAAAGGAAUUGACGGGGACCCGCACAAGCGGCGGAGCAUGCGGAUUAAUUCGAUGCAACGCGAAGAACCUUACCAAGGCUUGACAUACACGAGAACGCUGCAGAAAUGUAGAACUCUUUGGACACUCGUGAACAGGUGGUGCAUGGUUGUCGUCAGCUCGUGUCGUGAGAUGUUGGGUUAAGUCCCGCAACGAGCGCAACCCUCGUUCUAUGUUGCCAGCACGUAAUGGUGGGAACUCAUGGGAUACUGCCGGGGUCAACUCGGAGGAAGGUGGGGAUGACGUCAAAUCAUCAUGCCCCUUAUGUCUUGGGCUUCACGCAUGCUACAAUGGCCGGUACAAAGGGCUGCAAUACCGCGAGGUGGAGCGAAUCCCAAAAAGCCGGUCCCAGUUCGGAUUGAGGUCUGCAACUCGACCUCAUGAAGUCGGAGUCGCUAGUAAUCGCAGAUCAGCAACGCUGCGGUGAAUACGUUCCCGGGUCUUGUACACACCGCCCGUCAAGUCAUGAAAGU
This 1306-nucleotide ribosomal RNA is filed under the name Microbacterium laevaniformans. RNAcentral's name for it is "bacterial SSU rRNA". It matches the Rfam family "Bacterial small subunit ribosomal RNA", at positions 93 to 1411 of the family's 1533-position model. Lineage: Bacteria; Bacillati; Actinomycetota; Actinomycetes; Micrococcales; Microbacteriaceae. The record is from RNAcentral.